UCUGGUGUCCCGGAAAUAGAGACCAGAAACACUGAUGUCCCACUCCAACGAUAGAGCAGAAGGAAGGAAGGUUUCCCCUGUGGUUUAGAACGUUCCUAACGAAAAUAACUGCAACUCUUGAUUGCACCUCCUGAGGGUCGUUGGGACUUUCCCUCUCAGACAUUUAUUGGUUCAUUCAUUCGUUCAUUUUGCUGUAACUCACAGUGGCCCCCAUCCUAAGGUGCACUGCUGGGAUUGGUCUAUGUGCUGAUGAUGUUCUCCUUGUCUUCAGAGGUGAGAAUGUGCCCUCCCUCCGAGAUGCCCUCUUGCCCCUGAGCUCCCCAGCAGGGAACAGGCUGCCUUGUCUUGUGAGUCCAGAUCCUGGGAACAACUUUCAUUUAGGAAUGGAACAGCAGGUCCUGGGAGCAUUGGCGCCUGCGCGCCCAUCAUGCGCGUGUGUGAUGCAACAUCACCACCUUGUGGCAGCGAGGAGCUAUCACAACGUGGACUGAGGUAGAGACGGAGUUUCACCGUGUUAGCCAGGAUGGUCUCGAUCUCCUGACCUCGUGAUCCGCCUCGUGAUCCUCCUGAUCCUCGAAGCCGCCCGCCUCGGCCUCCCAAAGUGCUGGGAUUACAGGCGGGAGCCACCGCGCCUGGCCGUUCCCUGGGUCUUUUGAGUGGUGUGAGUUGAAUGGUGGUAGAUUCUAGGACAGUUCAGUAGGAGCCCGUCCUCAAAAGGAAAAUAACAGAACUUCCUGCUAAUCUGGUAUUGGGGCUGAGCAAUUACUGCACACUGAUGAGAUUGACCAUAAUUGCAUCCUGAGUUUGAAGAGGAGGUCACGCUACUAAGACGAGAUAAAAUCAGCUCCAACGACAAACAUCAUCUCUGGGGGUUUCCAGAUUCUCAAUUUUCAUUUAAUCCCCAGCCUUAGUGGAAAGCAAGAGUCGGAGUCGGCAUUCUGGGCAGGGAGGCAGGUGAGG
Molecule: long non-coding RNA, 960 nt
Filed under: Homo sapiens (human)
Lineage: Eukaryota; Metazoa; Chordata; Mammalia; Primates; Hominidae
Description: non-protein coding lnc-RIPK1-1:3
Source: RNAcentral